GAUGAACGCUGGCGGCGUGCCUAAUACAUGCAAGUCGAGCGAACAGACGAGGAGCUUGCUCCUCUGACGUUAGCGGCGGACGGGUGAGUAACACGUGGAUAACCUACCUAUAAGACUGGGAUAACUUCGGGAAACCGGAGCUAAUACCGGAUAAUAUAUUGAACCGCAUGGUUCAAUAGUGAAAGACGGUUUUGCUGUCACUUAUAGCUGGAUCCGCGCCUCAUUAGCUAGUUGGUAAGGUAACGGCUUACCAAGGCGACGAUGCGUAGCAGACCUGAGAGGGUGAUCGGGCACACUGGAACUGAGACACGGUCCAGACUCCGACGGAGGGCUACAGUAGGGAAACUUCCGAAAAGGGCGAAAGCCUGAAGGAGCAGCGCCGCGUGGGUGAUGAAGGGCUUCGGAUCGUAAAACUCUGUUAUUAGGGAAGAACAAAUGAGUAAGUAACAAUUCACGUCUUGACGGUACCUGAUCAGAAAGCCACGGCUAGGUACGUG
Molecule: ribosomal RNA, 497 nt
Filed under: uncultured bacterium
Lineage: Bacteria
Description: partial 16S ribosomal RNA
Rfam family: Bacterial small subunit ribosomal RNA
Source: RNAcentral